Long non-coding RNA from Etheostoma cragini (Arkansas darter), 176 nucleotides. RefSeq lists it as uncharacterized. The transcript is spliced from 4 exons. The record is from RefSeq and is a predicted model, not a curated record. Lineage: Eukaryota; Metazoa; Chordata; Actinopteri; Perciformes; Percidae.
AGGUUUUUAUAUAGGCUUUGGCUGUUAUGAGAUUCUGACGGUAUGAUAACCUUAAACAAAAAUAUCAGGGUUUCACUGUAUUAUGAUGACAGCUAUAAAUGUAUUAUUUUUUUGUGUGUCCGGGUAAUAAAAACACUACUUUUUUUCCCACUGAACACAAUGUAUUUGAUUUUGAA